RNAcentral lists this transfer RNA (74 nucleotides) under Prochlorococcus sp. MIT 0601. RNAcentral describes it as "tRNA-Met". It matches the Rfam family "tRNA". From Rfam's summary of the family: Transfer RNA (tRNA) molecules are approximately 80 nucleotides in length. The record is from RNAcentral. Lineage: Bacteria; Bacillati; Cyanobacteriota; Cyanophyceae; Synechococcales; Prochlorococcaceae.
GUCAGUGUAGCUCAGCUGGUUAGAGCACAGCAUUCAUAACGCUGAGGUCGGGAGUUCAAGUCUCCCCACUGACA